Long non-coding RNA from Calidris pugnax (ruff), 216 nucleotides. RefSeq lists it as uncharacterized. NCBI's taxonomy places the organism in Eukaryota, Metazoa, Chordata, Aves, Charadriiformes, Scolopacidae. The record is from RefSeq and is a predicted model, not a curated record. The transcript has 3 exons.
CAGUACGAGACCAAGGAGAACAAGAGGCUGCUGGAGAAGUCGCAGCGGGUGGAAGCCAUCCUGGCGUCCAUGCAGGCCACCGGCGCCGAGGAAGCCCAACUGCAGGAGAUCGAGGAGAUGAUCACGGCCCCCGAGCGCCAGCAGCUGGAGAACCUCAAACGCAACGUCAACAAGAUCGACGCCAGCGAGAACCAGGUGGACGAGACCAUCUUUGUG